Molecule: ribosomal RNA, 250 nt
Filed under: uncultured bacterium
Lineage: Bacteria
Description: partial 16S ribosomal RNA
Rfam family: Bacterial small subunit ribosomal RNA
Source: RNAcentral
GAUGAACGCUAGCGGCAGGCUUAAUACAUGCAAGUCGUGGGGCAGCAUGAAGUAGCAAUACUUUGAUGGCGACCGGCAAACGGGUGCGGAACACGUACACAACCUUCCUUUUAGUGGGGAAUAGCCCAGAGAAAUUUGGAUUAAUACCCCGUAACAUAGCGAUGUGGCAUCACAUUGCUAUUAUAGCUUCGGCGCUAGAUGAUGGGUGUGCGUAUGAUUAGAUAGUUGGCGAGGUAACGGCUCACCAAGU